Long non-coding RNA from Balaenoptera ricei (Rice's whale), 1506 nucleotides. RefSeq lists it as uncharacterized. The record is from RefSeq and is a predicted model, not a curated record. NCBI's taxonomy places the organism in Eukaryota, Metazoa, Chordata, Mammalia, Artiodactyla, Balaenopteridae. The transcript is spliced from 3 exons.
ACUGCGUGGGAGCCGGAAGGGGGAUGAAAGCACGCACACCCGGCUCCCACCCACCGCCUGAGGAGCGGGGCCAGGUGCAGGCGCUUGGGGAAGAGAGCCCGUGACCUCGUGCCACCUCUCCGAACUUCUCCCCCUGCUGUUGGGAUCCGAGGCUCCAACAUCUCUCCCCGGAAUGGAAGGAUGGAGGUGGGGUUCUAAAAUUCCCUCCCAGGCCUCUGAAUACAGAAGGCGCAAAAAGAACAGGAGCUACGCACAUACCAGGAAAAAUCAACUUCUUCCCAGAUACUCGACUGCAAAGGAUACCUCAGAGUCCGGCUUUCCCAAGAAGCCUUCUUACAUUCAACCUUGCAAAGCAGAGAAAUUCUACAAACAUUGUACACGGAGUACAAGCACUUCAAGUCACAUAUUUGCAUUUACUUUUUUUUAAAAUCUAGUUUCUUUGAAUGAGAUCUUUUUUUUGCAAAAUCGUCACAUUAAAAUCCGGGAUUCUGCUCUUCACAUUUGAAGGAGCAAUGUCCUCUACAAAUCCCAGAUCACACCUGUGCCUUGUAUUUUUAUGAACCACCUCUCAUGGCCCUGUGGGACCACUAUUAAAAAUUAUUAUACAUAUUUUGUCCCUAUGUGUACAGAGUUAGCAAUGUAAGAUGAGUACUGACUAAGGGAGGAACAAAGUAAAGAAUUUGAUGACCAUUUUCACCACUUGCCCUGCAGCUUCGCUGUCCUUGCCUGGAGCUGUCAGAGGAAUAGGGGAGAGAGUUCAAAGGCAUCGGUGUUGGAGACUGAACUCUGAUUUUCUGGCCAAUAUGUCUAACUCCCUAGAGUUAAAGGAUCACAUAGUUGAAUGAGGACUAAAGGACGGGAUGUAAAUGAGGACAUCUCAGGGCUGUAUCACCCAAUCAAGACAUUAGUGCACAUCUGGGAAUUUAUUUACUUAUGUUGAAAUUUGGAGAAAGCCUUACACGCCACAAACUAGAAAGUCAUUCAUUCAUCCAGGGGUUGUAACUAAAUAUUUACACAUCUUGAGAAAUCCCUAAAAUUUUGCAGUUGAAGUUAAAGUCUAUUAUACUUUUUAAUUAGGAUUUAGGGAUAAUAGGAGAAAUCAUAGAAUUAGUAUUUGCAUUAUACGAAAAAGAUGGGGAGGCCUUGAAACUAUUUUCCCAGGAAUCCAGGGAGCCAUGUUCAAUGUCAACAUUCCUCCUCAUACAACUGAAAGACAACUGAUGGAGAGCUGGAAAAUGCCAAGGAACUGAGAUUCUUGAUCAGCUUGAAAAGCAAGACUUGGGUAAAUGGCAUUGUGAGAUAGAUUUGCAUUAAGUGUUUAAAGACAAACACACUUAUCUGAUUAAUGUUGGUCAUCCUUCCUAGACUGUAAUUUCCACAAGGGCAAGGCUUGUGUCUGUUUUGCACAUGACUGCUUCAUUCUUGCUUGGAACAGUCCUUGUCACCUGAUAGGCCCUCAAAAAUAUUUGAUGGAUGGAUGGAUGAAUAAAUGAGUUCAUGCUUUCC